Molecule: long non-coding RNA, 371 nt
Filed under: Mytilus galloprovincialis (Mediterranean mussel)
Lineage: Eukaryota; Metazoa; Mollusca; Bivalvia; Mytilida; Mytilidae
Source: RNAcentral
AAUGUAACAAAAGUAUACUACAUUUAUAUUUACAAUCUGCAUAAUGACAUUCAGCAUAAAUAUGAUAAGGUUAAUGAUGUGGCAAUAAUUGGUACCCUGCAACCACAAUUGUUCAUACAUCACAGACAUACAGCACAAAAAACUAAUAAAUGCAAUCACACAUACAUGUACAAACAACUAAUAAAUGCAAACAAACAUACAAAUAUUUUUAACAAAGAAGCCAAAAAGAAGGUGUGGUAGAUAGUAAAUUUUAAAUUUGACAAUGACGUCAGCAAACUGACACAUUAAAUUUGUCUUUGAUAUUACAAAUCGUUUAUUGUAUAAACAAUAAGUCUUUCUCGAUAAGUCAAAAGUAAGUAAAUAUAAUAACA